This 26-nucleotide non-coding RNA is filed under the name Mus musculus (house mouse). The record is from RNAcentral. Lineage: Eukaryota; Metazoa; Chordata; Mammalia; Rodentia; Muridae.
UGACACAUAGGCUGCGUGUGUGCUGA